Anolis sagrei ordinatus is the source of this 769-nucleotide long non-coding RNA. RefSeq lists it as uncharacterized. The record is from RefSeq and is a predicted model, not a curated record. NCBI's taxonomy places the organism in Eukaryota, Metazoa, Chordata, Lepidosauria, Squamata, Anolidae.
CGCUUCCCUGGAAGGGAGCGGGUUGAUUUGGUGUGGUAUGUCAUUCUUUUCUCAUAAGAUCCACCAUUUCUUUCUGCAGCUCCUCGCCUAGUUCUGCGUUGAAAGGUAUAUCUUGGAGACAGACCAUUACAAAAGAAUAUGUUAAGAAAAACAGGGACUGGGUUGUUGUAGGUUUUUUUGGGCUAAAAACAGGGACUGUCAGCAUCUGAAGCAUUGGGGCUAUUUACAUCAUCUGGAAGAGCAGACUAUUUUAUACAGGACAAGAGCAAAACACAGCAAAAUCAAUCUCUGUGGGCAAAGGCACACAAUCAAGGGCAUGAGGAGAGUGAGCAAGAAGCGUGUUUAUGCCGCUGAUAUCACCUGACAAAAGGCUAGCCAGGUGGAUUUUGGAGACAAACCUCAAGGGAAGAAUAUUUUCAGAAAACAGGGACUAUUCAGCCAGCCCAGUUUGUAUGGCCAUAAAAUAAAUUUUGUGACUAAGGAGUACUUGAAGCAUGAUAUGAAUAAAAUAUCCUGAAAUAGUCAGCUUAUUGUAGGCUAUCAAGACUGACAGAAUCCAGUGUGAUAUAGAACAUUGGACUACUUGUCUGAAAAUCAGGGUUUGUAACCUUGGACACUCUCUCAGACUCAGAGGGAGGGCAAUGGCAAACCUGUUCUGAAAAUAUAGUGCCAAGAAAACUCUUCAUUGGAUCAACACAGGUUGGGUCAACACAGUUUGGAAAGGACUCACAAAUACAGAGCAACUAUAAGAUCUAUAUGUGUUUGAAAU